RNAcentral lists this long non-coding RNA (509 nucleotides) under Brassica napus (rape). RNAcentral's name for it is "long non-coding RNA (BNAP_LNC012088)". The record is from RNAcentral. Lineage: Eukaryota; Viridiplantae; Streptophyta; Magnoliopsida; Brassicales; Brassicaceae.
CACAAUGCUCCAUUGAUCUUAUCAGGAUGGAGGUGUGGCUGAUUAAUUCGGGUUGGAGCACGUAGCAGCGCCUCUUCUGUUCUCGUCGCAUAGGUUGGAGGAGGAGGAGGAGGAGGAGCCGCAGAUGAAGUUGAAGAGCCGACCACUCCAGGAGGUCUUGUUGGUUGAGAAGAAGCAGGAGUCCUACCAGGAGGCAUUGAAGCGGCUCUCAUUUGCGGUCUCACGUUUCUUACAUCUGCAGAAAGAGAAACAGAAGAAGCGUUAAGAUUGAAAAACUGAAAAGCCUAACUUGUAACCGAAAAGAAAACACUAAAUCAAAACCCUACUCAAAAUCAACAGCAACACCAAACCCCUAAACGAAACCCAAUUCAAAACCCAAAUAGAAACCCAAAUUUAAACCGCAGAACAAAUUGAAAGCGAAUCCCAAAUCGAAACCCUUAUUUGAAACCCAACCUAAACCCAAAUCGAAACCCUUAUUUGAAACCUAAAUCGUAACCCUAAUUUGAAAC